AUCUCCUUCGGGUGAUGCUGGGUCACUGAGCCAUGGUGAUGUUAGUGGCUGGAUCUCAGAAGCAUAUGAUUUCAAUAACUAAUGGGCAGACGUCUUGGGACGCAAAGGGCCAAGGCAUCAGAAACACUUGGUACCAGCUUCCACAGCAACAAUGAGAGGUAACCCCAGUGCUUCCACUACCAACAGGACAUUACCACUUGCAGGCAGAGAAACAGACAAGAAAAAUAGUGGAUGCCACAUAUUAGGACUCGUCUGAGACAUGAUGCAAGACUUUUUAGAAAGAAUUUGAGAUAAGAGAGUUUAAGACAUGUUUUUGCUCCUGGAGUCUGAAGAAGAUGGAGUUAGCAUUUUCACCACUUCUUUUGUCCGUC
This 371-nucleotide long non-coding RNA is filed under the name Homo sapiens (human). Its description in RNAcentral is "HSALNT0345261". Lineage: Eukaryota; Metazoa; Chordata; Mammalia; Primates; Hominidae. The record is from RNAcentral.